RNAcentral lists this ribosomal RNA (325 nucleotides) under uncultured eukaryote. RNAcentral's name for it is "partial 18S ribosomal RNA". It matches the Rfam family "Eukaryotic small subunit ribosomal RNA", at positions 1470 to 1796 of the family's 1831-position model. The record is from RNAcentral.
CCCUUAGAUGUCCUGGGCCGCACGCGCGCUACACUGAUGCAUUCAACGAGUUUUUCCUUGGCCGAGAGGCCUGGGCAAUCUUUUGAACGUGCAUCGUGAUAGGGAUAGAUUAUUGCAAUUAUUAAUCUUGAACGAGGAAUUCCUAGUAAACGCAGAUCAUCAGUCUGCAUUGAUUACGUCCUUGCCCUUUGUACACACCGCCCGUCGCACCUACCGAUUGAAUGGUCCGGUGAAGCCUCGGGAAUGUGACCAGUUCGCUUCAUUGUGAGUUGGUUGCGUGAACUUGUCUAAACCUUAUCAUUUAGAGGAAGGUGAAGUCGUAACA